Molecule: long non-coding RNA, 886 nt
Filed under: Sorghum bicolor (sorghum)
Lineage: Eukaryota; Viridiplantae; Streptophyta; Magnoliopsida; Poales; Poaceae
Description: long non-coding RNA (SBIC_LNC000266)
Source: RNAcentral
UGCUACAUUGACUCGAGAUGUGAAGCGCAAUGGUCGUUUACUUGAGGUACGAUUCUAUUCUGGUACACUAUCUGUAUGCAAUGAAGGCCAGAAAAUAUUGAUCAUGUUGGUAAUUCUUCACUUGCAGCUCAUUGUUAGCAAAGUACAGAUAGAGAUACCACCUGAACUACUGCAGGAAGAAGAAAAUGAGUUGGUGAGAUUAAAUCUUAAGUGCUGAUGCAUAUUAAGUUAUCACAUUGUCAUACUUUAGAUACCACCUAAACAUGUUUUUGUUAUAUAUAUUCUCCUGUCAUAAUUAAUCAUUUCCAUAAUUUAUCUGGUCUACAUAUUCUCAUGAACGGUCCAUUUUUUUCAUUUUGGAUGUAGGGAGGGGCUCUAGAUGGGUCCUCUCAUGCCUCAGCCAACCUGGACAACAGCGAUGGCCAUUGAUUUGUGUGAUGGCAGGAAGCGUUUUUUGGGGCUGUAGUCUCUUGUUCACCGCACUACAGGAUUUGGCAACAACAAGCAAGUUUGAAGGGCAUUUUGGUUGUCAUGCAACAAAAGUGGAUUCUGUUGCCAUCCAAGGCAUGGGUGCUAGUUGUGAAGCAGCUGCAUAAUGUCUAUUCGGAGCAUGCAGGCUUGCGUAGAAACCGUGGCACAAUGCCCCACCAAAGCUACACUUUUUGGUUGGUUGAGAGAGCAACUAGCUACCAGCAGAUUGCCUUCUCAAGAUGUAAUAGAUGUUAUGAAACUGCCAUUUGAACAUGUAGCUGAUUGUGUACUUUAGCUUUGGAUUGAGUAUUUGUUAUGAAAAACUUGAAUGAUAUUCGAAGACCAUCAAACUUAAUGUUUGAAUUACUUGAGUAUGGAUGAAUGGUUCAAUGACUUUGUUAUAAUAUUGAUGCAA